UAACAGAUCCAGCUUGCUGGAUGCUGACGAGCGGCGGACGGGUGAGUAACGCAUAGGAAUUUACCCGGUAGUGGGGGAUAACCUGGGGAAACUCAGGCUAAUACCGCAUACGUCCUACGGGAGAAAGGGGGCUUUGGCUCCCGCUAUCGGAUGAGCCUAUGCCGGAUUAGCUGGUUGGUGAGGUAAUGGCUCACCAAGGCGACGAUCCGUAGCUGGUCUGAGAGGAUGAUCAGCCACAUCGGGACUGAGACACGGCCCGAACUCCUACGGGAGGCAGCAGUGGGGAAUAUUGGACAAUGGGGGCAACCCUGAUCCAGCCAUGCCGCGUGUGUGAAGAAGGCCCUCGGGUUGUAAAGCACUUUCAGCGAGGAAGAACGCCUGGUGGUUAAUACCCGCCAGGAAAGACAUCACUCGCAGAAGAAGCACCGGCUAACUCCGUGCCAGCAGCCGCGGUAAUACGGAGGGUGCAAGCGUUAAUCGGAAUUACUGGGCGUAAAGCGCGCGUAGGUGGCUUGAUAAGCCGGUUGUGAAAGCCCCGGGCUCAACCUGGGAACGGCAUCCGGAACUAUGAGGCUAGAGUGCAGGAGAGGAAGGUAGAAUUCCCGGUGUAGCGGUGAAAUGCGUAGAGAUCGGGAGGAAUACCAGUGGCGAAGGCGGCCUUCUGGACUGACACUGACACUGAGGUGCGAAAGCGUGGGUAGCAAACAGGAUUAGAUACCCUGGUAGUCCACGCCGUAAACGAUGUCGACCAGCCGUUGGGUGCCUAGCGCACUUUGUGGCGAAGUUAACGCGAUAAGUCG
RNAcentral lists this ribosomal RNA (800 nucleotides) under Halomonas sp. Mg64. RNAcentral's name for it is "bacterial SSU rRNA". It matches the Rfam family "Bacterial small subunit ribosomal RNA", at positions 70 to 867 of the family's 1533-position model. The record is from RNAcentral. Lineage: Bacteria; Pseudomonadati; Pseudomonadota; Gammaproteobacteria; Oceanospirillales; Halomonadaceae.